CAGCAAUGGGCGCGCCCGUGG
Molecule: small RNA, 21 nt
Filed under: Aspergillus fumigatus Af293
Lineage: Eukaryota; Fungi; Ascomycota; Eurotiomycetes; Eurotiales; Aspergillaceae
Description: putative Afu-67 ncRNA
Source: RNAcentral